UUUGGCACUUGUAUUAGUGGGCACGGCAAGCAGUAGCAGCCAGAUGUUGUGUAGUGUUCUGUUUCAAAUUGAUCUUGACAUCUUUGUGUUCUAAAUUAUGUCCAUGAAACUGGCCACCGUGAAUCCAGGUGGACUUAAAUAGCCUGACUAACGUCCUCCCUAAAGAUGUGAGGACACACAUACAUGAUCGCUCGCUUCAUGUUACUACAUUUGGUUUCAGGUAUGGAUCGAGGGGCCCUAGCUCACAUUUUGUUCCUGUUUGUGAUCAGGUACAUCAGUCUUGUGGUCCACCACAUUUCUCGCUGGAGACCUCAGGUGCUCCGUUGUCGUACCUCAGCCAGCCUCACCAUGGAAGCCCUCUUGGCUGCAUGGACAACCAGAGUUGUAUGCACCCACUUGACACGGCGUUUUGCCUGGCGAUAAAUCCGCAGUAUCAUUUCCUCAACGGUGUUAGCGAUGCAUCGUCUCAGUUGCAGCUAAUUUGAUGCUUGUGUUUGUGGAAACCAAGAGGUGGCGCUGAUUCAUUGGAAACCUGGUUGUGUAUGAAUGAGUUUCCAGCUACUUCUAUUCUUGGAGAUAGAAACCAACAUGUUUGGUUUUUGUUUUUAUUCGCUUUAGAACAACUCAUUUUUGUACGGGAAGAGUCAUUUAGCUAUAAUUGUUUGUUGUAGUAUGUUUAUCACAGGAUAGCCGAUUCCAUGAAAUACAUAAAAACCUGAUAUUGUUGCUA
Zea mays is the source of this 730-nucleotide long non-coding RNA. RefSeq lists it as uncharacterized. The transcript is spliced from 2 exons. The record is from RefSeq and is a predicted model, not a curated record. NCBI's taxonomy places the organism in Eukaryota, Viridiplantae, Streptophyta, Magnoliopsida, Poales, Poaceae.